AAUUACUGUUUUCUUUUCCUUGGUCAUAUUUUCCUUCUAAUAUCCUUGUUUUCUAACAUCUAAGAGAAUCACAUUGAACUUGCGGCCUUGUUGCUAGGUUUCAAGCUGAUUUUAUGCAGUCUACUGAGACACUAUUUUCGUUUUUGAAUUCUGAAUCAAGUCCCAAGGCAACAGGGCCCUGUUUCUUAGCAACACAGAUGGGCAGACCAUAUAUUCCAGUGCUUUUGUGCAAGGGAAGAAUAAACAUCUCCCUGAAUAAGGGUGUGCUGCAAGUUGAUCUCUUUGCUUAACUUCCCCUAGAACAGAGGAACGAGAGGCAUUCUGUGAUACAUCACAUGAAGUUUGUCAGGAAGUCCCUGUUUUUGCAAGUCGUAUGCAACAGAUUUACCACAUCUUGUGUCAAGUUACUCCAGAGAUCCUUUAAAUGUGAAGUUAAAAUCACAUCCUUCCAACAGAGGCUGCUGACAGCUUACAGCACCCUCCAACACAGCUCCCAUGCCUGGCUGCCAGAGCCCUGGGAGGAACAGAAAAAUGCCUGAGAAAUAAGCCACUAUCUGCUUCCACCUGGUCUAGAGUAAACUUCUCAAUGGGGGUUUUCACCAGUGAAAUCUGUUUGCUGUACAAAUGCAUUUUCUUACAUGAUAUUUGGUACUAGCCUGACGUGAACUUGCAUGGUGAUGACUAUUUAAAUGUCAAUGUUUUUCCUUUCACAGAAAUCUCAGACUAAACAGUAGGGUGCUGAUGAGAAAGCAAUGUGGUAAAGACUUCACAGUCUUAUCCAUGUUAACAUACCAGCCUUCUGUUUCUAUGAAAUCUGUACAUAUGCAAAUGCUAUGGAGGAUGCUAGCAGUCCUGAGCUGUGUCUGUAUUACCCUGUUAGGACAGAGGAAGAUCUGCUUUGCUCUUGAGUCUGCAUCUGGAUUGAGAGCUGAAGCUCAGCAUGGUCAGGUAGUUUCAAUUCCUUUCAAAAAGAGCAUGUGAGGAUGCUCAAUGUAGCACUUUCAAGUCAUAGCCUGCAUUGCUGAGGGCUUUGGGGAAAUGUCCAGAGAUAGAUUUGGACUAAAACUUCCAGAUUUAGAUUGUAAGUAAACUGAAGAGUAUAUACUUACAACGUAGCGAUUUAGCAUAAGAAAAUUGCAUAGCUGGCUGUUUUGCCCUUUCCAAAAGACAAUGAUUUAUAUACCACUGUGGAAAGCUCAGAACACUAGAGACAAUUCCUUAAGCAAUGAUCUCAUAGCUCUGUGUGCGCUGGUGUGAAGUUUGACAUUUUUCUGGGAUUUAACAGAUGCAAUCCUUAGUGAAGAGAAAAAAUUACGUAGAAUAUUAAAAUUUUAAAAAGGCACUUUUUUUUUUUUUUUUGUUAAACACAUCUUCCUAUCAGUCAGGGAGGAAUUGUGUCGUAUUUUCAGACACUAGUUUGGAAAGAAUAAAAUCUCUGGGAAAUUUCCCUGCCUGGAAUUU
RNAcentral lists this long non-coding RNA (1461 nucleotides) under Anas platyrhynchos platyrhynchos (common mallard). RNAcentral's name for it is "lncRNA (ENSAPLG00000024772.1)". The record is from RNAcentral. Lineage: Eukaryota; Metazoa; Chordata; Aves; Anseriformes; Anatidae.